GACGAACGCUGGCGGCGUGCUUAACACAUGCAAGUCGAACGGAAAGGCCCUGCGUUUGUGGGGUGCUCGAGUGGCGAACGCGUGUGUAACACGCGAGUAACCUGCCCUUGACUUUGGGAUAACUUCAGGAAACUGGGGCUAAUACCGGAUAGGAGCUCCUGCUGCAUGGUGGGGGUUGGAAAGUUUCGGCGGUUGGGGAUCGGUUCGCGGGUUAUCAGCUUGUUAGUGGGGUAGUGGGUUACCGAGGCUUUGACGGGUAGGCGGCCUGAGAGGGUGACCGGCGACAUUGGGACUGAGGGAAGGCCGAGACUGGUAAGGGAGGCAGCAGUGGGGAAUAUUGCAGGAUGGGCGGAAGCCUGAUGCAGAAGCGCUGCGUGCGGGAAGACGGUCUUCGGGGUGUAAACCGAUUUCGCAUGUAACGAAGCGUGAGUGACGGUAAUGGGUAAAGAAGCACCGGCUAACUACGGG
This 468-nucleotide ribosomal RNA is filed under the name uncultured bacterium. RNAcentral describes it as "partial 16S ribosomal RNA". It matches the Rfam family "Bacterial small subunit ribosomal RNA", at positions 28 to 507 of the family's 1533-position model. The record is from RNAcentral.